This 1229-nucleotide long non-coding RNA is filed under the name Malus domestica (apple). RNAcentral describes it as "long non-coding RNA (MDOM_LNC011302)". The record is from RNAcentral. Lineage: Eukaryota; Viridiplantae; Streptophyta; Magnoliopsida; Rosales; Rosaceae.
UGUUUUGAGUUGAGUUUUGGUUCACCAAUCUACUAGGCUUUGAAUUUCUUGGUUAAUGUUUUGUUUUUGAAUGCAUGCAAGCAUGAUUCCGCCUUUUAAUUGUUAUUAGCAUGCUAUAGAUGUUAUUCAAAUGAACAUGUUUUCACAAAAUAAUCCUUCAAGUGGUAUCAGAGCCUAGGUCUAGUAGUUGGUGAAUCCUUUUGGGUUUUGUAGUUCAUAGUUUGUGAUUUAAAAGUUGUAAUUGUUACAAGCUUUAUUCUUGUUUCUUUGAAUGUAAAUUUUGUUAGAAAAUUUGCCAUCUCAAAUGUUGUAGAUGUAGUUCAUAUGAGCAUGAAUAUUGGAGCUAAAAUUUGGUGCCAUGACUUUGGGGAUUUUCGGCCAAAUCCAAAGGGUGGAUUUUUGGGUUCUUGUUUGACCUGUUAAAAGUGUUUUAAGGUGACUUUUGGAACCCCUAUGUACCCUAGUUUGGUUAGAUGUUAUUUCCCUUAAGUUUAAAUGGUUUUGGAAUGUUUUUGGGUGAAAAAUGUUCAUGGAAAAAUUUUGGGUUUUUCAUGAAUGUUCUUCAUUGUUCUUGACAUUUUUGCCAAGAACAAAAAGGUUUGUGUUUUGAUUCAAAGUUUUGAUUAAUUUCAUAAAGUCUUUGUUUUGUGUUGGUGGGUGUGACUUAUCUAUCAAAAACAUUUAUUGAAAUUUUGAAAGGUGAUAGAAAUGGUGAUGGGUGUGUAAGAAGUACUUCUCUUACACACACACACCACUUGCAAGGCUUUGUUCACACCAAACUAUUUCCACUUGCAUGGCUUUAUGACUUAGUUGAAAUUUUUUCAAAAAUUUUUGUGGACUCCUCUCUAAAACCGGCCCUCCCUCAAAGGGAGUGUUUUUGGGUCUUUUAUGCAAUUACAUAAAGUUUUGAUACUUUUGUGUAUUUGCACUUUGGCCCAAAAGUUUACGUUUUUACGUUUAGGUCCAAAAACGCUAAAGGACAAAUUGUUUUGCUCCUUUAAUGAAGUUUUUGAAUUGAUUAAAUUUUGGGUUCUAGUGUAAUUACAUGAAGUAGUGGACUUUUGUGUCUUUACAAAGUGACCCCAAAAGUUUUGCAAUAUAGCCCAAAAGUUGAGGUUAAUUGCUUUAUAGCCCAAAUGUUGUGGUUAUUGCAAGAUGGCCCAAAUUAAGUAGAGAACAAAAUUGUUUUGUCUCUUUAAAUGAGAAUUGGAUUUUCAUUUUGUUUAGCU